Molecule: ribosomal RNA, 1435 nt
Filed under: Klebsiella sp.
Lineage: Bacteria; Pseudomonadati; Pseudomonadota; Gammaproteobacteria; Enterobacterales; Enterobacteriaceae
Description: bacterial SSU rRNA
Rfam family: Bacterial small subunit ribosomal RNA
Source: RNAcentral
GAGGGGGACGCUACCAUGCAGUCGAGCGGUAGCACAGAGAGCUUGCUCUCGGGUGACGAGCGGCGGACGGGUGAGUAAUGUCUGGGAAACUGCCUGAUGGAGGGGGAUAACUACUGGAAACGGUAGCUAAUACCGCAUAAUGUCGCAAGACCAAAGUGGGGGACCUUCGGGCCUCAUGCCAUCAGAUGUGCCCAGAUGGGAUUAGCUAGUAGGUGGGGUAACGGCUCACCUAGGCGACGAUCCCUAGCUGGUCUGAGAGGAUGACCAGCCACACUGGAACUGAGACACGGUCCAGACUCCUACGGGAGGCAGCAGUGGGGAAUAUUGCACAAUGGGCGCAAGCCUGAUGCAGCCAUGCCGCGUGUGUGAAGAAGGCCUUCGGGUUGUAAAGCACUUUCAGCGGGGAGGAAGGCGUUAAGGUUAAUAACCUUGUCGAUUGACGUUACCCGCAGAAGAAGCACCGGCUAACUCCGUGCCAGCAGCCGCGGUAAUACGGAGGGUGCAAGCGUUAAUCGGAAUUACUGGGCGUAAAGCGCACGCAGGCGGUCUGUCAAGUCGGAUGUGAAAUCCCCGGGCUCAACCUGGGAACUGCAUUCGAAACUGGCAGGCUAGAGUCUUGUAGAGGGGGGUAGAAUUCCAGGUGUAGCGGUGAAAUGCGUAGAGAUCUGGAGGAAUACCGGUGGCGAAGGCGGCCCCCUGGACAAAGACUGACGCUCAGGUGCGAAAGCGUGGGGAGCAAACAGGAUUAGAUACCCUGGUAGUCCACGCCGUAAACGAUGUCGAUUUGGAGGUUGUGCCCUUGAGGCGUGGCUUCCGGAGCUAACGCGUUAAAUCGACCGCCUGGGGAGUACGGCCGCAAGGUUAAAACUCAAAUGAAUUGACGGGGGCCCGCACAAGCGGUGGAGCAUGUGGUUUAAUUCGAUGCAACGCGAAGAACCUUACCUGGUCUUGACAUCCACAGAACUUUCCAGAGAUGGAUUGGUGCCUUCGGGAACUGUGAGACAGGUGCUGCAUGGCUGUCGUCAGCUCGUGUUGUGAAAUGUUGGGUUAAGUCCCGCAACGAGCGCAACCCUUAUCCUUUGUUGCCAGCGGUUAGGCCGGGAACUCAAAGGAGACUGCCAGUGAUAAACUGGAGGAAGGUGGGGAUGACGUCAAGUCAUCAUGGCCCUUACGACCAGGGCUACACACGUGCUACAAUGGCAUAUACAAAGAGAAGCGACCUCGCGAGAGCAAGCGGACCUCAUAAAGUAUGUCGUAGUCCGGAUUGGAGUCUGCAACUCGACUCCAUGAAGUCGGAAUCGCUAGUAAUCGUAGAUCAGAAUGCUACGGUGAAUACGUUCCCGGGCCUUGUACACACCGCCCGUCACACCAUGGGAGUGGGUUGCAAAAGAAGUAGGUAGCUUAACCUUCGGGAGGGCGCUACCACUUUGUUACA